RNAcentral lists this ribosomal RNA (467 nucleotides) under uncultured bacterium. RNAcentral describes it as "partial 16S ribosomal RNA". It matches the Rfam family "Bacterial small subunit ribosomal RNA", at positions 28 to 506 of the family's 1533-position model. The record is from RNAcentral.
GACGAACGCUGGCGGCGUGCUUAACACAUGCAAGUCGAACGGAAAGGCCCUGCUUUUGUGGGGUGCUCGAGUGGCGAACGGGUGAGUAACACGUGAGUAACCUGCCCUUGACUUUGGGAUAACUUCAGGAAACUGGGGCUAAUACCGGAUAGGAGCUCCUGCUGCAUGGUGGGGGUUGGAAAGUUUCGGCGGUUGGGGAUGGACUCGCGGCUUAUCAGCUUGUUGGUGGGGUAGUGGCUUACCAAGGCUUUGACGGGUAGCCGGCCUGAGAGGGUGACCGGCCACAUUGGGACUGAGAUACGGCCCAGACUCCUACGGGAGGCAGCAGUGGGGAAUCUUGCACAAUGGGCGGAAGCGUGAUGCAGAAACGCCGCGUGCGGGAUGACGGCUUUCGGGUUGUAAACCGCUUUCGCCUGUGACGAAGCGUGAGUGACGGUAAUGGGGAAAGAAGCACCGGCUAACUACGU